UAAUUAAUUAAUUAGUGAUCUAGAAUUAAUUCUAGAAAUAUUUCAAUAAACAAAAAGGUUGCUAGGCAAAAAUGUCUUGGUCUUGGCUACGGCUUUUGUGGAGUGUUAAUACAUACAGUGAAAUGGGGUUCUCAAUCUUGAAUUCUUACAGAAUUUCAAUGGGAAGAACGAUAAGGAAGACAUUUCCUUUUCCAAUCCUACUAAUUAGCACUAAUACAAAGCACAAAAUAGGAAAAUUUCUUGUCAUGUUAAAUUGAAGCGUAAGAUUUAAGAACUAAGGACACCUCUUCCCUAAAUUUCUAUGGAAUUUUCUACCAAAAAUCACUUAUCAAAUACAAAUAUUUUUCCUUUUUUAAUUAAAUAAACCAAUUCUCUCUCUUGAGCAAAAAUAAUACGAAACUAAAGAAAAACCUGAAAAUAAUGGCACAUAUGAAUGUAAAAGCUGGAAUGAGAUUAAGCAUGGCCGUCCCAAGUGUGGCAGAGCUAUACUGUAAACCAGUAUAUCCAAAAAUCUGGAUACCAAGUCUGAAAAAGAAAAUGGAAAUCAAUAACUAUUGCUACUCAAAAUUUGAUUCCUUUAGAGAAAAAGAUAAUUUGUUCUCUAAUUACAGACCCAAAUAGUGAAAGCAAGAAAAAGCUGAAAAUUAAGGAGAAGGUGAGUGGAGUUCCAUCUGAUCUGCAAAUUAACCACAAUAAAUAAAUUAACAUACUUGUAUUAACAGAGAUGCGAAGACCUGUGGACUAUUAAGCAACAAGGAAGAAGAACAAGUGUAGCAAUAGCAUCAGAAUAAACAAUAAUGACAUAUCUGUUCAUCCCUUGAGAUAGAGCUAUUUUGGUUAUUUCCAUAGAGCUUACUUGAGCAAGAAUUGAAAUCACCAUUUCAAUAAAGGGCAAUACAGCCUCUUUACUGCAUAACCUUAAUCCCAUAUCUGUAACAAUAACUAUGGUAUUGAUGAACUUAGCAUUUUCAAUCUAAUCAGUGCUGAAAGAUCUGAUACUGUAAAAUGAGCCUAUUCUUUUGCUAGUCCUUAUCUUUCUUUCCAGUGGUGUCUUGAAAAGUUGACCUUUGAUUAAUUGUGAUGGAACUAAAGAACUUUUACCUUAAAUUUUUUUUGUUUUAAUUUAUUUUCUUUAAAUAAUAAAAAAUAAAAAUAAAAGUAUAAAUUAAAUAAGACUUUCGAAAAUAAAAAAAACUUGUAAAUUAACAGAUAUCAAGCAUAAAUAAUACAGUUUUUGACAGCAUUAUUCAGAAAUUGAAAUCUUACUCUUUUUUUUUUAAUCUUUUUCACAUUAUUCAGGAAUCAAAAUUAUUGUCUCCAGAUGAAAAUUUCAAUUUUUAAUCAUUAGAGUAAUCUACUGACCAUAAAAGUAAAUAAUAAUUAAUUAAUUAAUGAUAACAUGCCUAUAAUAAUUUAUGAAUUAUUUGAUAAAUUGAGUGAAUUUAAAAUUUUCUUAUUUUAGAUUUAAAAAUGAUUGAAAAAAAAAAAAAAAAAAACUUGUAGCGUGCUUUAUUUUCCAGUCACGUUCAGAUAGCGCAUCUUGACCAGUGUCCGCAAGAUUCAAGAGUCAAUCAAGACCACUCAAUCCAAAUAUCGUAUUGUAACGGCAAAGCUGAUUUUCAUUCCAAUAAUAUUGGUGGUGGCCCAUUUUUUUUGUUUGUUUAAUGAUAAAGUCAUUUACGUUGAAAAAAAUAAAUAAAUAAUAUUAUGGAGUGGGUGAGACUUUGAUCGACAAGACGUAAAUUAACUCUAUCAAUCAACUCAAUUAGACUUUGUUGUUAUUGAUUAUUUUAAAAACCAAAGUUGUUAACUCCAAAGACUAAUUUGAUUUUUUUUUUUUUUUAUUCGAUGGAAGGCCUAGUCUUAUUCUAAUUCCAGUAAUUGCCUGCAUGUCACAAAACAUAAAGCCUAAUUAAUAUUUUAGAAACUAUGCAGUUCGUCUAAAAAAAAUAGUUUAUCUUUUUUUUCAUUAUACUUAAUUCUUAAAUUGUCUACUCUAUUCUUAUUAUAUUUUAUUUUAUUUUUAAUAAAUUUCGUUAAUUUUUAUUUAUUAUUUUAAUAUAACGUGUUAUUUAAAAUGAACAUAAUAGAAAAAUUAUAUGUAUAAAGUCUGAUUACUUUUUAAGAUAAAUAAAAUAUAUAUUGAUUUGUAUGAAAAUAAAAAGUGGACUAUAGGUCUAUAGGAAUAUUUUUAAAAGAAAAAUUCACAGAUUAACUAGUUACUGGCUAAGGAAAUAUCAUAUAAAAUUGAAAAAUUAAGAAACCAACUUGUAAUACAAAAUUCAAGAGUUAAACAAGAAAUAUUAAAGAUAUCAUAAAUCAAUAUUUAUUUUUAUUCAGUGAAGCUUACAAAAUUACAAGAUCAUACAUAAGCAAGCAUAAUAAAAUAAGACAUAAUUACUCUUGUUUUAGGAAGGAAACAAACUUUCUUUUCAACUCCAAAGCCUUGUCAUGGUUAGGAUUAUGCAAAUGAAAGCAAUGUUCUUCUUUUUCAUUCUCAACAAGUUCACAGCUUCCUUUCCAUCCACUUUUCUGCAACUUCUCAUAAUAAUUCUUGCCCACAGUAUUCAAAUGGUCUUUCUCUGCUACAAAAAUCAACAACUUUUCACAUCCAAGCUUAGCAAUAUCCUCUACAGGCGGGUUCAUUCUAGGAUCAUCCAAUCCCUUAUUAUCUUGACACAUGUAAAGCCACAUAUGAUCAUCUUCAGUACCGCCAAAAUAUGGAUGCACUAAGAUCACCCCAACCACAUUAACUCCAUCCGGUAACCCGAUUGACCCGAUCCGGAAAGCUAAAGUAUGGGAUAUGUUACCUCCUGCGCUAUCUCCACCUAUAAAAACUUUCUCAAAAUCAACGUAAUCAUUCAACCACUGCUCAGGUCCAUUUCGAUUAACAUGAGACGCCACCCACUGGAGUGCUGCCCAGGAAUCUUCAUAGCAAGCGGGUAUGGGUCGGGUCGGGAAGAGACCAUAUUCAAUAGAGACGACAAGAACAUUAGCCUCAUUAGACAAAGCAGAGCAAUAGUUGUGGUAUUGAGGGGAAAACGCAGACAACAUCGAAAACCCACCGCCAUGGAUGUAAAACAAGAGAGGGAGUUUCUGAUCAGAGUUUUGUAGUUUUGGCAAGAAAAUACGAGCAGAUACUGGAGGAUCAGUGGAGAUGGUUACGUCUUUGGAUUUGAGUCCAGUUACAGAGUCAUCAAGUGGUGGGAUUGUUUCCCAAGUUGGCCUGAACAUGUGGAUCCGGCCAUCUUUGUAAACCCUGAAGAAUCUGAACUCAUGGGCAACGUCAUUAUCAGUUGACGCCAUUGAAGAGAAAGGAAAUGAAGGGUUUAGAUUAGAAGCAAGAAAUAGAGGAUGAAAGAGUUCUUGGUUGUGUUUUCUUGGAAGAGUUAAGAGGAGAGGCCUUUUAUUGUAGGAAAAGAGGCGCAUGAGCUACCGUUCUUUACAUAAAUGUUAAUGAAACUCCACUUAAUUACCAGUCGGUCCAAAGCUCUACGAGCAAGAAAGACAAACGUAUUGGGGAAUCUCAACAGCUCUGACUAUGAAGUACGAACAAACAAUAAAAUCAAUGAAGAAAUUAAAGACAAAAAGUUCUGUUUCAAAUCAAAAUGGCUGAUGUGAACUUUCAAAACUGAAAGUCCGGGUCUAAUUAAACGAAGGAAAAAUAUUAUUUAAAAGUUAGAUGGAUCGCAUGGAAUUAACGGUGAGAAUUGCCGUUACAAUACAAGUGCAUAUAUAUAAAAAAUAUUUGUCUACACAGUAAGUUUGUUUAUCUCUUGUAUGUUGGUCUGCAAAAGAGGCUCGUUUUGGGUGGAUGAAUCCUCAAUGACUGUAACUCCACUGCCUUUUCCUGUCUGCUUUUCUUUAGCUUAUCCCCCACAUAACAGCAUAAAAACCAGCUGCGAUCACAAUAGCUCCAAUCACACUGCAUAACCAUUUUGAAAUUUGCAUUUACUCAUUCGCUUGCUUAGAAGUGUACCGUGCAUGGAGUAAAAAGAAAGAAAAUGUACCUUCCAAGAAAGAGAGUAUUCCCUAGAAAAAUGAUUCCCAUGAGUGCAGCUGCAACUAUCCCUAAGGGCUUCAACAUAGAAACAAAAACAGGUCCACUCAUUCUUACACAUAAUGUAGUCAUGCCUAACCGAAAUACAUCCCCAACACCUGCCUAAACAAAUGUUAGAGAAAGAAUUCUCAAUUAAUUAAUGAUUGAGACAGACGUUAACAAUUCUCAAUUAAUUAAUGAUUGAGACAGACAUUAACAAGCGCAGGGCUUCUGAUUAUAUCUUACUGAAUAUAUUACAGAAACCAAACCCAUGUCAGUUCUUAACCUCCAAGCACCAAAAUCUUCUAUAGUUAGAGAAACUACUGCAGAUAGAAUUGCUGCAAAUAAGCUGUAAAAAAAUACUAUGAUUAGCACUGAUGUGUACUUCUUCAGUAUUGAUGCCUGCAAUAAUCAAGACUUGUAAUUAAUUACCCGUAACAAAAGCCAAUGUUUCUAUUUUAUUAGUUAUUUUGUGAUCUAACCUGUAAAAUAUACCAUAGUGAACUCAUCAUAGCAUGAGUUGCAGAGAGAAAUCCUCCAAGGAUCCAAUUUCCUUCUUCUGAAAGUAGUAAUUGAUGAUUCAAGCCAUCAAAUGAGGGCAUGAUAAUGAAAGGUAAGCCCUUGUAGAUGGUCACAGUAAAUGCCCCACUAAUUGAUACCACAGUUCCAAUAAAUUUAGCUAAACUACUUGAGCUCUUCAAGUCUAGCUUUUCCAUCCUGCAAUGUCGAAAAAACAUAAAUUAGACACGGAAGACAGUAUAUUCCGUUUUGGAAUAUGUUUUGAUCUGGUGUCCUUAGCAAUAUCUAAAGGUCACAACUUUGCAUUAUUUCCUCACUAAAUAUCUAUACUUUUGAUGAUAAAAUAAAACUAUCAAGGACAAAAAGCAAUAAUUUUUUCCCUUCCUGCAUUAUUUUCUCCACUGGACUCCAAUUUUGUGCUCGAGCAGAGUAGAUAAUUCAAUUUUUCAACUCUAAAAUAAAAUCCCUUUUACUAUAAAAUAAAAAGAGGAAAGUAAAAUAAAAGUUAAAAAAAAAAAAAAAAGAAACCUGAAAAGGAGGGCAAAAAUGAAAGUAAAAGCUGGGACGAGGUUGAGCAUGGUUGUGCAAAGAGUAGGAGAACUGAACUGUACACCGGCAUAGUUUAAAGCCUGUCCAGAAAAUCUGUUUCAAGAACUAAUUGUUAUAGCAACCGAACCACAUUUAAUUCUGUUUUUAAGCAAAAAUAACAAGAUAAGCAAAGAUUAAUAAGCUUAAAUUUUACCAACCCAAUUAAGGCAAGCAAGAAAAAACUUGAGAGGAGAGGAAAACAGAGUGGGGGAAGAUCUGAUCUGUUGAAGAAAACAAUUAACAAUAAAAGUAAAAAACAAAGUUUCUUGAUCUUAUACGUACAUUAAAAAAAUGGAGAUGAAAACAAAAAAAAAAAGCCCUGUGGGAGAAAAUGGAUAUAGGAAGAAGGAUAAGAGAAGAUAGAGCAUAAGAGUACACAAGAAGUACAUGUCUGCUCAUCCCUUUAGACAUCGCUGCUUUGCUAAUUACCAUAUCACUUGCUUGAGCCAAAACUGCCAUCACCAUCCCCAAAAACGGCACUAUGCUCCCCAUUGCUUGCAAAAACCAAAAAAAAAAAAAAAAAAAAAAUCUUUCUUCACACACUUAUGAGUGAAAAAAUGAUUAAGCAAUAGCCUUUCUUUAUGUUAUUCAAUAAUAUGACAAGAGACAGGUAGCUUUCGUUAUCAAUUUUUUAUCCAUAGGAAUUCCUACAGGAUAAAGCUUUUGUGAAUUUUAGAUGGUAAAGGAAAAAGAAAUGGUAAUUUUAAAUUACACAAUUAAGCAUCUAAUCCCCAGUCGCAAAAAUAAGCUUUUCUGUUUUUUUUUUUUUUUUUUUUUUUUUUUUUUUUUUUUGAAAGGGAAAUAAGCUUUUCUGUUGAGUUGAGAAGAAAAAUAAUUUGUCCUUGUUUUAUAGAGCAGUUCAUGACUUACUACAACACGAGGGAAAUUUUCCCUCUCGAAAGAGGGACCUCGAGGAAACUCGGAGAGAAUUAAAAAAAAAAAUUUGCUUUCAGGAAAUUUUACUAAUUUAUUUUACUGUUUCAACAGAAUUGAAGAAUCCUGGUCAUCUAAUUAAUGCCAUAGAUAUGGAAGAUUUUUAAGGAUUUAUAUAUAUAUAUAUCUCCAUCGCUUUGGCGAAGUUCGUUUGUGGGGUACAUGAACAAAGAAAGCACAAUAACAAUGAAAGCAUAUCAGUAGCAAUAAAAUGAAAAUUAUAAAAGGGGCAUUGAAAUACUGACCUGCAGAUUAUUGCAGGAAUACAAGUUAAGGCUACAGUUUAAUCAUUGAGAGUAAGAAAGUUAUGUCUACCAAAUAUCUGAAUCUGUUAACAUAGGUAAUUCCCACGUGAAAUAAUAAAUAUUAUACAAAAAUGUAUUAAUUCAUCCUGAAAGAUUCGCAACUAACAUUUUUGAGUAUCAAAUUCAAAGAGACAGAGCCCCCUAAUAUCAGUGACCGACGGCUUUUUAAUACAAAAUGGAAUUAGCUUGAGCUAUUGUUGAUUGCAAAUCACUACUGUUGUUUCGCAGUAGAGGGAUCUUAUGAGAGCUCGACUCCAAGUUAGGGUUUCCUUUGCCUUCUUCAUUCAUCUUUUCUUCCUGGGAUUUUCCCCAUAUCACUGUAUAAAAUCCAAGGGCAAUAAUAAUACCUCCAAUCACACUGCAGUGAUAAAAUUCAAUCAAGUAAAUGUUAUUUCCUUCAUAAGCUUUUUUUUUUUUUUUUUUUAAAUAAACAAGUUCGAAAGUAGAUUUCAUCACAUUAUAGAAUCUUGAAUCAACUAAUAUUGUUUUCUUUCAUGAAUGUGAUUAUUUGAUAGUUUAAAACUUUCUUCAUUUUCCCUACAAAGAACUCUGCAAAUAUGAGUCAGUUAAGUUUUUCUCGAUUCUUUUCCUUUUUGAAGGAAAAAGAAAAUUGUACGCUUGCACAGAAAUAUACCUUCCAACAUAAAGGUUGUCCCCAAGAAAAAAAAACCCCAUGAAAGUUGCAAUAACAAUCCCAAGUGGUUUAAACAUGGCAGUGUAGAGAGGUCCUUUCUUGUGGCAUGCCCAAGCAUGAACUACAUUACGAAGUGACAGUGCAAAAAUUGCCUACAGAAUUUACAAGAACGCCAUGUUACAGCAAAGUGUAACAAAGAACCUGAAUGAAAAGGGGACAGAAUAAUAAUUCUUUGAAAUAGCCAUAUGGUAUAUACUUACUGAGCAUAAAAUAGCUAUCAAUUCAACAUCAGGCUUCAGUAUCCAUGCAUUAGGGUGUUUCUCUAAAAUUAGAGAGACUACAGCAGAUAACAGAGUCACGGAGAUGCAAGUUAGCACCGUUACCAUCAACUCCGCAGGGUACUCCUUCAGAAUCCAAGUCUGGGUAAAUAUUCCAGCGGGAGUUAAAUGUCAGAUUAAAUUUAUACUUUGCAUCAUGCAAAACCAGGUAAUUAAGUUGCAGAUUUAGCGUUUUUACCUGGACAAUAUAAAACAAUGCUAAGCACAAUGCACCAACUGCACAAAAAAUGCCACCAAUAACCCAAUUUGACGAGAGCAACAGCAACUGUUCAUCAAUUUGGGAUGCAACAUUUGCAGUGAUAAGUUGCCCUUUAUACAAAGUCACAAUCAACGCUCCUGCAACUGAUACUAUAGUGCCAAUUGACUUGGCUUGGCUACUUUGUAAUCUGAACUCUAGCUUUCCCAUUCUAAAUUAACCAGUAAAGCAUUAAUCAAUAGGAAUAAUCAUUUUUGAUGGAACAUUUAUUGGUGAGGCAGAAAUUUACUACUUUAGAAAAGAAUAAGAUAGGGGUAUCAAAAUCCAUUAGGGAUAGCCUCACUAAUUCUGCCAUGACAACUUUACACCUAUUUCUUAAUUAACUAAUUAUUUCCCAGAAAAUUUGACCAAUUCACAAAAGGCCAACUGUCCUAUUAUGAAACAGAUUACUGGCCGUGAAGACCCGACCUAACAGCGUGGCCCAAACGUAAGGCAACUCCUCAAACCUGACUCCUCCAUUACGUCGUUGGAUUGCCCACCGGAGUUCAUGGAACCCGUCAACAGAAUCGUAAACCAGAGAUAGAAACAGAGCACUAACGAGAGAAAGAGACUGGUGAAAAUGGAAGGAAAGAGGAAUUGGGAAAAGGAAAGGAAAAGAUUGUUAUAAACUUGGGACAAUCACACCUCAAAAGAUUGCAUUGCUAUUUGUACUUUUUCCCUCGGUCAUAAUUUUUUAACUGGAUAACGCAGCAAGUCCUGGGUUAAGGCAGCUAGUGCACUAAACAACAAAACAGAGAAUCUAAAAGAUGAAACUCACCUGAAUAUUACAGACAGUAAAAAAGUGAAAGCCGGUGUUAGAUCAGUCAUGGCUGUGCACAAAGUUGGAGAGCUAUACUUUAUUCCAGUGUUAAAAAGCAUCUGAAUACUAAAACUGUACAAUACAAAACCCAGAAAUAAUAUUCUUUAAUAAUCAGCGUAAUACUGAUUACUGUUCCAAUUAAUUUUAAUUAAGCGAUGAAAUAUAAGAAAACCUGACAAUACUCAGAAGCAAGAUUCUAGAGAAGAUGCAUGCAUUAAGUUUGGGGGGAGACCUUUCCCUGAAACAAAUUAAUAAUUAAUACAAAUUAAGUAAUUCUGGAGUCCUAAUCAACGUUAAAAGAAGAAGAAGAAUAGCCAGUAAUUUAUUACCUGUAAAAGAUGAAGGAAGAGGGAAGAAGGAUGAAGAUGGCAAAGGCCAUUGAAUAAACUAUAUCCUGACUCAUGCUUUUGUUCAUGGCUGCUUUCAUGAUGGUGCUUAUGCCUACCUCCGUGAACUCUACUCCCACCAUGGCUGCUGUUACUCCUGGACUCCACAUUCUUUAAUUAAGAAGCAAGGAAGAGAAAGACUUGAUUCGGUUUUUAUGAUUCAGAUUUCCGAUGCUCAAUGUCCUCUAAUGGCAGCAAUGUCUGUGAUGGUGUUGUUUUCUUAUGUGUUUGGUAGCUAAAUUACGAUUUCCUGUCUAUAGAGAUGUUAAAGUUUAACUUAUUAGAUCUUUAAAAGUCAAUAACAUGGGCCGUAUUUGCCCUACCUGCCAGUGAUUUCCUAUUUUCAUGAUUGAUUGAUUUAUUAGUAACUUUGUAAAGCUGGUUUGAGUUGAGAUGUAUGGAAAUUUUUGCUUAUUUUAAGUCAGGAAUUUUGGUAUAACUAAUAAUAUUAAAAUUUUUUAUUUUGACAUGAAAGAGAGAGAGAGAGAGAGAGAGAGAGAGAGAGGUAAGGCUCUUCGUUAUUUCUUGAAAAGUUUGAAAAUGAGAAAUAAUAAGGUGGAAACGAAAAGUCUACAGUAUUACAGUACUAUUCACCUUAUAGAAACCAAUAAAUUGUCAGUGGUAAUAGUGAGAUUAAUUCUGAAUCUUUAACUUAUAUGAAUGCUCUAGAAUCUGCAAUUUCCCUCUGUAUUUUCCAAAAUCAAAAGAAUCGAACACUUGUAAAAAUCUCAAACAUAAGAUAAGCGAGCCUUUUUAAAAAUUAAAAUUUUGAUCGGUGUGAAAUUUAGUUCUCAUCAUUAUACCAUUCCAAGAAUAUGCAAGCUUUGCCUUUUAUCAAUAGGCCCAUCUAAUUCAAAGUUGGAGUGUCAGUGGUGAUGGUGACUGGUGAGCACUGUGCAAUUGCUUUCGAGAUGGGUUAUUAUUAUUGUGAUAUACAGAGCGGACCUACAGUUAGUCAUGAGUUCGACGUAAAAUGUUUUGUUGAAGAGAGGAAUUUUGAUAUAAAAAAUAUGUUAAAAAUGUUGAUUUUGACAUGAAACGCAAUGACAUAACAUAUUGGUGAUGUUGACAUAUAUUAUUAUAUAUAUUUGAUUAUAAAUUGGUCUUAUUCAACUUUAAAGGAGAAAAAAGUUAAAAUUGGUGUAUAAAUUAUACUUAAAAGAUUUUUAUUUUUUAAAACUUAGCUGUAAAAUUCUUAAUUUAUUGUUUCCUUGACAUUUUUUUUAUCUCGCAUUAAUUAAAGAUAAGAUUAUUAUUCAAAAUAUAAGAAUCGAUAAUCCUCGUCCUCUUCGCACUGAGGAGUGUGUUAUCUCCACAUUUGAUAUACGUAGCUUUCUUUAUCAAUUUUUUUUUUGUUUCUAUUCAAUGUCAACUUAGCUUAAGUGAUUGUUGAUUCCAAAUCAGUAUUUUUGUUUCGCAGAAGAGGUAUCUUAUGAGAGCUUGACUGCAUGUUUGAAUUUCCAUCAUCUUCUUCAGCCAUCUUUUCUUCCUGGCUUUUCCCCAUAUCACCGUAUAGAAUCCAAGAGCAAUAACAAUACCUCCAAUUACACUCAGUGAUAAAAUUCAAUCAGGUAAAAUGUUAUUUCCUAUUAAAAUAUCACCGAUUAAUUUAGUCUCCACCAAAAUGGGCUGUUAUAAUAAGCCAAGACUUGGGAAGUCUUAAGCCCAAAGUUGGAUGUCCAAGCCCACAUUCUAGAAUACUCCACUAUUCUCCAAGAUGUAAUGAAAAUAUCUUACCUAACUCUAGAAUUUUUCUUGUAAUUUAGAUCGUCCAAUUUUGUAAACAAAUCUUAGUCGUAUAUUGAGGAGGUGGAAAUACCUAUAAAUACCACCCCUCCUCUCAAUUGUAAAAACCAAGCAAACCAAGCAAACACCAAGUAAGUAAUCCUUUCCUUAAAACUUUGUAAAUGUUUGCUUCUUAUUAAUACAAUAUUAUUUAGUGUUUUGUGUUAGUAUUAUUUUGGUUGCCUUUCCCGUUAUUAUUUUUGGUGUUAUAAAUUAUUAAUCAAUCUUGGAGUUUAUCACUGCGCAAUAUCCAACAAAUUGAUAUCAGAGCGUUAAUCCCAACAUUUCCUUCUCAAGCUUUACAAGAAAAUACAAAUUUGAACUAACGAAAAUGGAUUCCAUCGGAUUAUAGAAUCUGAAUCAACUAAUAUGUUCUCUUUCAUGGAAGUGAUUAUGUGAUAAUUUAUAACUUUCUUCAUUUAUCCUACAAAGAACUCUGCAAAUAUGAAUCAGGUAACUUUUUCUCAAUUCUUUUCCUUUUUGAAGGAAAAAAGAAAAGCACAGAAAUAUACCUUCCAACAUAAAGUUUGUCUCCAAGAAAAGAAACCCCCAUGAAAAUUGCAAUAACCAUCCCAAGUAGUUUAAACAUGGCAGUGUAGAGAGGUCCUUUCUCGCGGCAUGCCCAUGCCUGAACUACAUUAAGAAGUGAUACUGAAGAAACUGCCUACAGAAUUUACAACAACAUCAAGUUACAGCAAAAUGUAACAAACAACCUGAAUGAAAAGGGGACAGAAUAAUAAUUCUUUGAAAUAGCCAUAUGGUAUAUACUUACUGAGCAUAAAAUAGCUAUCAAUUCAACAUCAGGCAUCAGCAUCCAAGCAUUAGGGUCUUUCUCUAAAAUUAGAGGGACUACAGCAGAUAACAGAGUCACAGAGAUGCAAGUUAUCAUUGUUAUCAUCAACUCUGCAGGGUACUCCUUCAGAAUCCAAGUCUGGGUAAAUUUUCCAGUGGGAGUUAAAUGUCAGAUUAAAUUUAUACUUUGCAUCAUGUAAAAACUCGCAAGUUGCAGAUUUGGCAUAGUACCUGGACAAUAUAAAACAGAGCUAUGCACAAUGCACCAACUGCACAAAAAAUGGCAACAAUAACCCAAUUUGAAUAGAACAACGGCAACUGUUCAUUAACUUGUGAUGCAGCAUUUGUAAUGAUAGGUUGCCCUUUAUACAAAGUCACAAUUAAAGCUCCUGCGACUGAUACUGUGGUGCCAAUUGACUUGGCUUGGUACUUUGUAAUCUGCAUUCUAGCUUUUCCAUUCUGAAUCCACCAAUAAUCAAGCACUAAUCAAUGGUCAUCAUCAUUUUUGAUGGAAAAUUGAUUGGUAAGUCUGAAAUUUACUACUUCAGAAAAGAAUAAUAUAGGGGUAUCAAAAUCCAUUAGGGGCUGGCCUCACUAAUUCUGCCAUCACAACUUUACACCUAUCUCUUAAAUUAACUAAUUAUUUCAUACAAAAUUUGAUCAAUUCACAAACAAUACAUGUGCUAUUAUGAAACAGAUUAUUGUCCAUGAAGACCCGACCAAACAGCUUGGCCCAAACGUAAGGCAACACCUCGAAACCUGACUCCGCAAUUGCGUCCUCGGAUUGCCAGCAGAGUGCAUGGAACCCGUCAACAGAAUCGUGCCGGUUUUGUAACCAAGAUAGAAAUAGAGCACUACGGAGAGAAAGAGGGUGGGGAAAAUGGAAGGGGAGCGUUUAAAGAAUGAGGAAAAGGAAACGAAAAUAUUGUUAUGACCCUGGGACAACCACAUCUCAAAAGCUAGUCCUGAAGAUUGGAGAGUUCAAGUUCAUAUAAAUCCCACGUUGAAAUCCUAUAUACUUUAAAUGUGAAUCCAAGACAAGUCCCAUACCUUGUCUUACAACUAAGAUGCUAACAAAGUUUUGCCAGGGUCACGGAAGAAGAAUUGCAAGUUUUUCCAGGAAAUUUUUUUUUUUUUCUCUUUAAUCAAAUCAACUGGUACCAAACACCAUAUUUUACUAUAUUUUAAUUACCCUUCCUUCACCUAUAUCCCCGUCCAAACAAAGCCUUGGUAAAAAAAAACCUAAUUUCUUUUGCUAAGAAAUACUAAAAACUUUUGAUCAAUGCGUACCAAAAAAUUUGUUCAAAUUAAAAAUUUAAAUUCAAAUUAUAACUAAUAAUUUUUAGUGGGUCUAUAAACUUAGUUUAAGCAAGUUCAUCCCUUAACACAUAAUGUCCCGUGUAUUUGAAAAUGUUUUCACGGAUAAAUGUAUUGAAUAAUUUUGAAAUGCUGGUUUAAGAAGGAAUUUUGGUGUAAAAUAUUUUUAGAGAAGAAUUUUGGUAUAAAAUAUUUAUGUAUAUUAAAGGUUGAUUUUGACAUGAAAUGUAAAAAUUCCCAUAGUAAAAAACAAAUCAUUUUCCAAAAUUUCAUUCUAAUUAAGACAUACAAGUUCCAACUGAUUUAGCUAAACCACCUGAGCUCCUCAGGUCUAGCUUUUCCAUCCUACAAUGUCAAAGAAACGUCAAUUGCUAAAUAAAAUAUACGAUUUGUAAUGGAAUAUAAAGAAACCAAAAGUCUGAAGCUCAGGACACUAAGAUGGCAGUAUCUAAAGCCUAAAGGAGUAAAGGUCACAACUUUACAUGUUUUCUUACCAAAUAUCUAAACUUUAUUCAUGAUAAAAAUGUUCACAGGCCAAAAAGCACUGGCAAAGAGUAAUACGAUUUCUCUCCUGCAUUAUAUUUGGAGCUUAAAGUAAUUAACGUUGGCCCCUCAAUUACAGCUAAAUUGACACAUGAUCUCUGUUUUCAAGAACUAACUGCGAAGUCGCUAACUUAUGAUUCUAUUAGUACUUUGAUCAUUUCGUCCAAAAAAAUAAGAGAGACAAUGGAGAAACAUAGAUAGAGGAUGUUUAAGGAUUUAAAAUAAUAUUUCCACCAUUUUCACAGAAUUCUUUUGUGGGGUACAUGAAUAGAAAGAGCACCCUAACAAUGGAAUCAUAUCAAUAGCAAUAAACUGAAAAUGAUAAAAGGGGCAUCGAAGUACUGACCUGCAGAUUGUUGCAGGACUACAAGUUAAGGCUACAGUUUAAUCAUUCAGGGUAAGAAAGUUAUGUCUGUAAUCAGAGAAAUGAAUCUGAGCAAAACAAUAAUUACUGUAGGUAAUUCCCACAUGAUAUAAUUAAUAACCAUAAAAAAAUGUAUGUUUUCAUCCUGUAAGAUGUGAAAGAUCUGUAACUAAUAAUUUGAGUAUCAAAUUCAAAGAGACAGACACCUAAUAUGAAUGACCAACAGCUUUUUUAUUACAAAAAGGAUUACACAUAUUUCCUCAGCUUAAAAUUGAUAUAAAUCUACCUAAUCAAGUUCCAUUUUUAUGUAUUUCAUGCAAAAUACUAUACAGUUGGGAAUUUGUUCUGCAGAAAAGGGACUUUUGGGGAAGAUGACUCAAAUCUACAACUCUCUUUGUCUUCAACUGUUUCUUCUUGCGUUUUUCCCCAAACCACAGCAUAAAACCCAAAGGCAAUAAUAACAGCUCCUAUCACACUGCAUAGUAAAAUGUGGGAAAAAAGAUGAGAGAAAAAAAAUUGAAACAGACAACAUUGUUUUCUUUUAUUUUCCCUUUCCUAACUGCUUUUGCAUUCAGGAUGAAGAGUUGAUGAUAAUUAGUCCUGAUAAUACAUAAUCAAGUGAGGAAUACUACCUUCCAAGAUAGAGAGUAUCCCCUAUGAAAGAUACCCCCAUGAAUACUGCGAUAGCCAUCCCAAGUGGUUUAAACAUGGAAGUAUAUACAGGGCCUCUCUUAUGACAUGCCCAUGUGUGAACAACACUUCGAAGUGAUACUGCAAAAACUGCCUACAAAAUUAAUCAAAAAAAUAUCAAGCCAUUAUAAAAUCCAAUAAGAAGCUUAUCGUGGAGGAAGAGUAAGUAAAAACUUGCUUCUCCACGCUCACCGAGAACCCAAUGGCAACCAACCCAAUAUCAGGCCUUAUUUUCCAAGCAUUCAGAUCUUUCUCAGCAAUCAGAGUAACUAUGGCUGACAGGAUAGUCACAAAGCAACAAUUAAUCAAUGUAAUGAUUAUCUCUGACGGAUAGUCCCUUAUGAUCCAAGUCUGGAAAUGUCAAAACAAAGAUCAAUUCUUGAAGUAAAAUUAUAUCUAAAAAUACGUUGUAGAUAUUUUGGUAAUGUCUACCUGGAUAAUGUAAAUUACAGCAAGGAUAAAACUAUGAACUGCGAGGAAAAAACCUCCGAUGGCCCAGUUUGAUGGAGGCAAAACAAGAAUCUGAUUUAAAAAAAAAAAAAAAAAACUAAGCCUAAUUAAAUAUAUGCAUUCAGUAUAUCUACAUAAACUGCAAUGAAAAAGAAGGCUGCUGUUGAUUAGUACUUGCCCUGAGAUGACACCGAGUAUGAAAGUAAAAGCUGGAGUUAAAUCAAUCAUUGCUGAGGCCAGAGUUGGAUUGCUGUAUCCUAUACCAAUAUAUGAAUAACUCUCAUUUGAAAUAGUGAAAGUUUUGUAGAUGAAAAUUUCUGAGCUGGAUAUAUCUUUAGCCUUUCAUAUUAAAUGAAAUGAGAAGAACAACAGGAUUAUACUUAAUCAUGUGAAUUGAUACUUUUUUAAUUACUUCCCAUAAAUAUUGGCGGGGAUUAAUUGAAACUUUUUAACAUGACUUUGUAUUUUAAGGGUAAGACUUGUAGAGCGAUAGGAAUGUGGCCAAUGAAGUACACUAUGAUGGCCGACGCUUUUCUGUUAAGAUAAAUUUUUUCUGCAGAAUGCUUAUAUUUCUUCAGUUUUAUUCUGCAGCAGAUGAUCCCUUUCGCCGGAGAAUUCAGAACUUCCUACACCAUUACGCUGUCUUGACUUCUCCUCAUUAGCCUUUCCCCACAACACCAUGUAAAAUCCAGUAACAAUAAUGAUUCCUCCAAUUAAGCUGCAACAAUUUUAGAAUUAUCAGUACGUGGUAAAUCUCUAUUAUGUCUUUAUCCUAAUUUCUUUCAUAUGAAAAUAAAUCAAGUACAAAAAUUUAUCAAUUUUCCAUUGUUCCCGAAGCCAAUUAAUAUUCAUCGAGAAUCAAGAAUGUCUGAUAAGGAUUUUAAAAUUAAAAAUGUCUACCUUCCAAGAGAAAGUGCAUCUCCUAAAAAUAUUGCAUCUGAAAUAACUGCAAAAAGAAUAGCCAAAGGCUUGAACAUGGACACAUAUAGAGGCCCAGUCUUGCUCAGGCACCAAGUAAUUAAGCUGAUACGAAAUGCAGAUCCAAUAAUUGCCUGCAUGUUAAAGAACAUAAAAUCUGAUUAAUCUGUUAAGAAGUUGGUAAAAUAAUUUCAAACCUUAAUCAUGCUAAUGAGUAUACUAUAUCCACUUACUGCAUAAAAAAUGGCAAACAAACCCAUAUCAGGUCUCAAUUUCCAAGCACUGUGUCAUUAACUACAACCAAAGCGAAAAUUCCAGACAAAAUUGUAUCAAAGGAGAAGGCAAAACACAUUAUUGUAAGCACAGCAGGGAACUUUCUUAGGAUAAAGGCCUGGAAAAAAAAGAAAAGAGAAUCAAUUGUUUGUUUUAAUUAUCUAAUAAAUGUUUAUGAAUGGUAUUUAUUUAAACAAACCUCAAGAAUAAAUACUGCUGAAUCCAAGAGAGCUUUGGCUGCGAAAGAAAACCCUCCAAUUAUCCAUAAGAGUGGUGAGGAAUGAAGUAGCUGACGAUGAAUAUGGGAAGUACUACUUCUAAAGAGUGAUGGGCCUUUGUAGAAGAUGACAAGAUAUGCUCCACCAAUUGAUAUUAUGGUUCCUAAACAUUUUGCAAUGCUGCUUUUGCUCCUGCAAUCUACUUCUUCCAACCUAAUUAAUUAAUUAGUGAUCUAGAAUUAAUUCUAGAAAUAUUUCAAUAAACAAAAAGGUUGCUAGGCAAAAAUGUCUUGGUCUUGGCUACGGCUUUUGUGGAGUGUUAAUACAUACAGUGAAAUGGGGUUCUCAAUCUUGAAUGCUUACAGAAUUUCAAUGGGAAGAACGAUAAGGAAGACAUUUCCUUUUCCAAUCCUACUAAUUAGCACUAAUACAAAGCACAAAAUAGGAAAAUUUCUUGUCAUGUUAAAUUGAAGCGUAAGAUUUAAGAACUAAGGACACCUCUUCCCUAAAUUUCUAUGGAAUUUUCUACCAAAAAUCCCUUAUCAAAUACAAAUAUUUUUCCUUUUUUAAUUAAAUAAACCAAUUCUCUCUCUUGAGCAAAAAUAAUACGAAACUAAAGAAAAACCUGAAAAUAAUGGCACAUAUGAAUGUAAAAGCUGGAAUGAGAUUAAGCAUGGCCGUCCCAAGUGUGGCAGAGCUAUACUGUAAACCAGUAUAUCCAAAAAUCUGGAUACCAAGUCUGAAAAAGAAAAUGGAAAUCAAU
This 16910-nucleotide long non-coding RNA is filed under the name Jatropha curcas. RNAcentral describes it as "long non-coding RNA (JCUR_LNC003357)". The record is from RNAcentral. Lineage: Eukaryota; Viridiplantae; Streptophyta; Magnoliopsida; Malpighiales; Euphorbiaceae.